RNAcentral lists this unclassified non-coding RNA (414 nucleotides) under uncultured fungus. RNAcentral's name for it is "partial contains small subunit ribosomal RNA, internal transcribed spacer 1, and 5.8S ribosomal RNA". The stretch from base 1 to 73 matches the Rfam family "Eukaryotic small subunit ribosomal RNA", at positions 1759 to 1831 of the family's 1831-position model. The record is from RNAcentral. Lineage: Eukaryota; Fungi.
UCAAACUUGGUCAUUUAGAGGAAGUAAAAGUCGUAACAAGGUUUCCGUAGGUGAACCUGCGGAAGGAUCAUUAUUGAAUUAAUAAAAGUGGGCUUUCAAGUGGGAGGCUGAUGCUGAUGGGUAAAACCAUAUGUGCUCGCCGCCUGCGAGGGGGUUCAUUUCUUUAUUAACCUUUUCCACCUGUGCACUUUUGUAGAUAUUGAAGGUCAUCUCUCAGGCAGCAAUGCUUGGUUUGGAGUUUGCUGGAUUCAUUCAUUUGAAGUCAGCUUUCUCUGUCGAUCAUCAAUGUCUAUUUUACAUAUACCCUUGAUUAAAGUUAAAGAAGGUGUUGAUUGGGCUUUUAAUGGCCUAUAAAUCAAUUAUACAACUUUCAGCAACGGAUCUCUUGGCUCUCGCAUCGAUGAAGAACGCAGC